AAAACAAGUGAUUACGAAGCACCAAAUAGCUUCUCUACACGGAGGACUCAAACACUCGGGACGUUAGUGAUGCGGCCGAUGGGCAGCUGCCCGCCACUGUCACUCGCCUCCCCCGUGGUCAUGCAGGGGAGGAUUAUUAUGGCCCAGCUCAGGUCUGAGUCAUAAGCAUUUUUUGUUUUUUUUGAGACAGGGUCUUGCUCUGUCAUGGAGGCUGGAAUGCAGUGGCGCAGUCUCGGCUCACUGCAGCCUCAACCUCCUGAGCUCAAGCAAUCCCCACACCUUAGCUGGGACCACAGGUGCAUACCACUGUGCUGGGCUAAUUUUUGUAUUUUUUAGAGACAGCAUUUUGCCAUGUUGCCCAGGCUGGUCUUCAACUACUGAGCUCAAGCAAUCUGCCUGCUUUAGCCUCCCAAAAGUGCUGGGAUUACAGGUGUGAGCCACUGUGCCCGGCCAGCAUCUUGUUGGCUGAGUUCUUCAGAUGGUUGGUAUGAGAUUUGGUUCCUGGGGCUUCGUGUGAGGGAAGCGGCCUCUGUGUGAAGUCUCCAUUCCUGCUUCCCUCUGGGAGACUGCCCUUAGCCGAAUCACACACACACUCAGGCACCCAUCACGGCAGUUCUGCUCCUCCAUUAGCUGUUUUCUUAGGUUCCCAGCAAAGACCCUGUUGGUUACCUGAGAUGCUCCCAGUCCACCUGAGGAGACAUUUACCUGGACACAAUCCCGUAGGGUGCAGACACAGUACCAUGGGAACUCCAGCAAAGAAGAGUUGCCCUCUCUGUUAUGUUUCAGUCCUGACUUAGGAAUUUCAUGAGGGGUCUCAGUUGUCAGUUCAGAAGGUGAGAAAGGAGGACCAGGAGAGCCAGAUAGCGCCCAUGAACUCUUCCCACCCUCGAGACUCUGUGCCAGUCAGAGGUCAAAGGUACACGCAGGCCACGUCUCAGAAUAUGAAAUCAUGGACGGAAGCCACACGUGGUCACCACUAAGCUUUCACUUGGCGUCGACCCCUCCCAUACCUCCGUACAGUGAGGGCGUCUCCAGCGCUGAUGGAGGCUAGCCAGCUGUGUGCCUGGAUUUGUUGGGUUCCGGGAUUAGCUGUGCAUGGUUGAGAAAGUACAGUCAUAAAGUUUUUCUUUUAUCUUUCAAAAAGGACAAAAAAGCUUACAUUUUGUCAGUAUCUUAGGAAAGGACGCUGAAGUAUGUUAGGAUGGGAAGGACAGCGCUCAAUGGCUCUUUGGUUAUAAAUUCAGAGGCUCAGCCUCAGAACUGGAGGCUCCCACCAGGGAGGACACACAGGAGUCCUCCGAGCCUCACAGCUGGCCCUGUGCGUGGCACUCGCAGAGGCUGGGGAAAGACUGGGCCUUGCCUGAAGCAGGAUCAUCACAGUUCCGUUCCCUGUGACUGUGGGAGUUAACAGUUGAGAAGGACCGGCCAUGGAGUCCCGGCUACUUGGGAGACUGAGGUGGGAGGACUGCUUGAGCCCAGAGGUUCAAGGCCAGCCUGGGCAACACAGACAGUGAAAAAAAAACAAAAAUGAAAACAAAACAAAUUGAAAAGGGAGUGAGGCCAUCCUUCGUAGAUGGAGUUCCUGAGAUGUAAAUUGGAGAUUGGAGUCCCUGGAUGCCACUGUUCAGGUUUCUGGGAAGCCAGUCAGCAGCCCUCACUGGUCCCGGGCUGGAUGCUGUGCCCCGGCCGCUUGGUUGGUCAGGGCCGGCGUCCCCUAGAACCUUCUGAGGGAGGGGAGCUUGCAGGACGGGGUGGGUGGAAACAGAGACUUCAGCUCCACAAGCCCUGCCUGUGCCCACUCCUGGCUGCACAGCUACCUGUGGAGCUGCCCGUGUGGGCUGUGAUUCCUUGGAGGGCUUGAGAGGGGCUGUUGUCAGUGGAGGUCCCAGGCUGGGUCUCCUUCCACACUGGGCUGGGAAGGAGGCUGUGUGGCUGAGUCGAGACGGAGGGUUUUAUAUCUAGAGAGAACACAUGCUGAAUAUCCACACAGAUACUGAGAUUGCCGAUGGAACUUGCACCUUUUGUAAGGUCAGUGAUCACAGUCCUGGCCGUCUCAUUUCUCUAAAAGAUAGUUUUCAGAAAAUGGCAAGUAUUAAAGCAAGUGUCUUCUCUACGUUUUCUAAGAUAAGUAUUGUAGAUUUUCUCUAUUUGUAUAAUGUCUUCAGCCUCAUCUCACCGACACUCCUUGGUUUCAAGCACUGUUACUAACCCCCAGACGUGACAGCCUACAGCAAAGGAGGAGAUCCGGGACUUUAAAAAGUCAGUAGUGUUCAGGAUUGACACUCCGGGGCCAUUUCAAUGGGAGGAAACAACCCCAACACAGCAGUGGCUUCUGAGAGUGCUCCCUGGCGCCUGCCCCUGUCCCACGGCCACCGUGAUGGUGCCAGGCCCUCUGCACAGGUGGGCUCACUGCAGCUGAGGGCUUGUGCCCGUCAUCCAGGGGUGUUUGUGUAGCCUUAGCCUCUCUGUGUCAACUAAUCAUGUUUGUAUUUUCUCCCCCUCACCUCAGGUUUCCUUAGGAAAUAAAGAAAGAAGCAAAGGUGUAUUCUACAAAGCACUUCAGAAUUGUCCUUGGGCAAAGGUAAGUGUUAAAGGCCAUGGCGUCUUCAGCUUCCCGAAGACUUCCCGCCAGGUCUCCGUCCAGCUAGUGUCUUCCCAGCCUGCCCCGCGGCACUGGGGAUGCUCGGCUCAUGGACGCCAUACCCUGUCCCAAGGUACAUCCAGAGCCUUUUCCUGGUGAAACUGUUCCCUGUGGAGUCAGAGCCUGGCCCUGCCUGGGGCUGGUGCUUCAUGGAAGUGUUGCUGUGGGUAGCUGGUUUCCCAGCAUUUGGUCAGAGUCCAGCCCAGAUGCUGAAAGAGUUGGGAUCAUGUCCCAGCCCAGCUGUGAGAGCCCAGGUCAGGUGACACUCAGAAGUGAAACUGAGGGUGAUGGCCAGCAAUUCCUGGACCCCUUUCAAAAGAGAAGGCCUCGCUUAGCGUUUGCUCACUUUUGCGAGUUCAGUGUCCUUCCUGAACAUGCCCAGUGCUGCCCGAGUUAAGAAAGUCUGAGCCAAGGGGAGCAGGGGCUGUGGAGGGCGACAGGAGGGCAGCGUCACCAGGAACCUGGCCCUUGCUUCCUGAGCUCCUCCAGGCUGACAGGAAGUGGCGGCUGAGUGGGGUGGCCUUCCUGCCUGCCCCUAGGUGUUGUACCUGGACGCCGUGGAGUACUUCCCCGAUGAGAUGCAGGAGAUCCUGGACCUAAUGACUGAGAAGGAGCUCCGGGUGCGCCUGCCACUGGAGGAGCUGGAGCUGCUGCUGGAGGAUUAGAGAGCAGCGGGGAAACGGGCUGUGGCUUCGAGGUCAAGUUGCCCGCCCUGCGGAGCUAGGAGGCACGAGUGGAGAACGUGUGUGUUAGGAGAACGCGGCUUUUGAAAUGUUCUUUCUCGAUAGUAAUAAUGUGGGCUGCCAGCCUCUCACAUCUUGCACGCUUUUUGGGUGUGUAAAUGACACAAAAGCUAUUUACAUAUUAUAUAUGUGAAUAUGUGUAUAUAUGUACAUAGCCAGAGAGUCAUACCAAGUGGUCAUUAAACCGACGAUGAUUGAGG
This 3584-nucleotide small RNA is filed under the name Pongo abelii (Sumatran orangutan). RNAcentral describes it as "retained intron". The record is from RNAcentral. Lineage: Eukaryota; Metazoa; Chordata; Mammalia; Primates; Hominidae.